AAAAAAAAAACAACCUUUCUAUCCAUCAAUUAUCAAUCUACUCCCUCAAAAUCAGCAAUCAACUCCCCCGCUUUGUUCAUAAGGUUUGAACCAAACCUUCAAUGGUUGCUUGACCUUUGGGUGGGAGUUUUUCCUUUGGAAGUUUUACCUCUUACAGCCUUUGAUUUGAACCUUUUCCCUCCACGAGAACUAGAUGAUGUCGAAGCUUGUGGUUGAGUUGAUUCAGCAGGAUCUAAUGUUGAGGAUAAUUGUAAGCAUUUUUGUCAACUUAUGAAGUUGUGUGUACAUUUUCAUUUCUAAUGUUUGUACAUCUAUUUGGUUAAGCACAAUCAUGUUUUUAGUUUACACAUGUCAUGUCAUUCUACAUUGAUGUGUGCACAUUUCCUUAGUCUGAUUUAUCGUAAUAUAUGUUGACACAUUAGAGUCAAAUGUGUAAACGGUCGUCCAGUUAGACCUCAGUAUAGCUGUCGAGUUUUCAUUGGUUGUUAGGAUUUUAUUGAAGACUGAAAUAUGCGUGAGUGGUCCAAAUACAAGUGUCAAAUAUUUCAGAUGUGGUCCUGGAAAUUUGUUUUGCCUUUUUAGAAGUGGUUCUAGCAAGCUGUUGAAAACUUUUUUUAAAUAGCUAAACAUGUGUAAGAGUUUGUUAGUUGGCUAUCUAGUAGAUUAUUGAGCAAGGAUUUUUUAUAAUCUUUUUCAUCCUUGCAUUUACGUUUGAACGUGAAUAUUCAUUUUGUUGUUCUCUGAAAAUCCUUAGAGGUUUUAUUCAUUUUAGGUUAGGUUUCUUAGUUGUUUUUCAAUGCUCAAAAUACUUAUCUAAUCUUGAUUGUUUGAGUGUGUUGGAACAUGUUUCCAUUGAUGAAUGCUUGAAGGGAUUUCAAGUUGUGGAGCUGAAGGUUUUCUUCAGCAUUGAAACUUGAGUGGAGCUUGAGCUAUCCAAGAGGUUUUUUGGAUUCAAGCAAGCUGUGGCAAGACAUUGGAUUAACUAUAGGGUGAAGUUAAGACUAUUGUGAAAACAGGGAGUGUUUUACAUUUGUUUGCUUAACUUCAACUUUACAAUGAACUUUGAAUGUUUGCUAUAGUAGAUUUGCUUCGUCUGGACUUGGUCUUAUGGAUGUAGGCUAUUAGCUGAACCAUGUAAAUAUGCUUAUGUGCUUUAUUUUAUACUCAUGUUUGAUAUGAUGCUUAUGCUGAAUAACCAUACCCACAAGCACCGAUGAACACAUCAACACUUUUCGCAAUAGUUUAGUGAGCUUGGUUAAACUUAAACUUUCAUUUUGAUAUUAGAGAACGCUUUGAAGAAUUAUUUUAGUAGAUCCAUGCUUGAUUGUGCUUGUGCCUUGUUUUAGCUUGUGUUGCAUCUGUUUUGAUUUUGUGCGUUUUUGAAUUGAUCUUCUCGUUUUUAGUGUGUCUACAUUUGUUCUGUGUGUGUCCACAUUUGCCUUGCACGUCUGUAUGUGACCACAUUUGUCUUGUUUGUGUCAACAUCUGUAGUGUGCUUAUUAUGAACUUCUUUAGUGAAUGAGGGUUUACUAACAAACCACCCCUGUUAGAGGGAACCAACUAUCCUUAUUGGGAACCUAGGAUGCAUGCUUUCCUAAAGUCUAGAGAUGAGAGGGUAUGGAUUCCAAUUGUCAGUGGUUGGAAAGCACCCGUAGUUGUUGAAGAAGAGGUGAUCAAACCAAAACCAAUAGAAGAGUGGACUAAGGCUGAAUUAAAUCUUGCUAAUUUUAACUCAAAAGCCAUUUAUGCCAUCUUUAUUACUGUUAGUGUAAAUUAGAUGAAAAUUAUUGCUAACCGUUAAAGGUGCAUGGAAUAAACUUCAGGUAAAAAAAAAAAAAAAUGAAGGAAUAAACAUUGUUAAGAAAACUAGGUUUAGGAGAUUCAUUAUUGACUAUGAAAAUCUGAUUAUGCAUGAUGAUGAAACAAGAACCAACUUUCAUGGCAGAAUUUGUGAUGUGUAUAAUGAGUGUUAUGCUUUGUGUAAAGUCUAUACUAAUGUUGAAUUUAUCAAGAAAAUCUUAUGCUCACUACCCAAGAGAUUUAUGUCAAAGGCGACCUCCAUCGAAGAAUGUCCUGAUCUGGAUUCCAUGCAAUUUGAUGAGUUGAUUGGAUCUUUACAAACUUUCAAGCUCAAUCUGAAAAGGUGGGACAAGAAAUCAGGCCGCUGCUGCCCUCUCCAGUCUCCAUUGUCUCCAAGACUCCAGUCGCCGCUGCCUUCUCCAUUUUCCUGUUGAUUUCGCUCCUAAGUCCUUCUUCUUCAAUACUUGUCUCUCCUCCUCUCGUCCUCUCCUCUCAAACUCGUCAGCCGCCGCUGCCCUCUCCACUCUCCAAGACUCCAGUCGCCGCCGCUGCCCUCUCCACUCUCCAACAACUGAAGCUUUUGGUGGUUAGGUCAGUAGGAAUAGGAUAUUACAAUGCAUGUAAAUGUAAACUAUUUUUGUUGAGAAGAGAGAUGGUCUGAAGAAAAUGAUCUCAUGAAUUUUGUAGUAGAAUCUUUGGGUUUUCUUGUGCUGCUAGAGCCGUCCAGAGGUUUCUCAUUUGUAUUUUCAAUGCCCUUGAGAAUUUUGUUCAAUUCCUCACCUCUCUCAUUUUGUGUCCCACGUUACAGUGAUAACUGAUAUGAAAUGGAGUUUUUACUUUUUAUAA
Long non-coding RNA from Pistacia vera, 2646 nucleotides. RefSeq lists it as uncharacterized. The transcript has 2 exons. The record is from RefSeq and is a predicted model, not a curated record. Lineage: Eukaryota; Viridiplantae; Streptophyta; Magnoliopsida; Sapindales; Anacardiaceae.